RNAcentral lists this ribosomal RNA (250 nucleotides) under uncultured bacterium. Its description in RNAcentral is "partial 16S ribosomal RNA". It matches the Rfam family "Bacterial small subunit ribosomal RNA", at positions 57 to 305 of the family's 1533-position model. The record is from RNAcentral.
GCAAGUCAAACGAGCAGCUACGACUUGUCGGAGUGGGCGAGUGGCGCACGGGUGAGUAACGCGUAGGCAACCUGCCGUAGAGUGGGGAAUAACUCCGGGAAACCGGGGCUAAUACCGCAUACAGUACCGAAUCACAUGUUUUGGUAUGAAAGCCUUCGGGCGCUCUACGAUGGGCCUGCGUUGGAUUAGCUUGUUGGUAGGGUAACGGCCUACCAAGGCUGCGAUCCAUAGCUGGUCUGAGAGGAUGAUC